CCUACGGGGCGCUGCAGUCGAGAAUCAUUCACAAUGGGGGAAACCCUGAUGGUGCGACGCCGCGUGGGGGAAUGAAGGUCUUCGGAUUGUAAACCCCUGUCAUGUGGGCGCAAAUUAAAAAGAUAGUACCGCAAGAGGAAGAGACGGCUAACUCUGUGCAAGCAGCCGCGGUAAUACAGAGGUCUCAAGCGUUGUUCGGAUUCACUGGGCGUAAGGGGUGGGUGGGCUGUUUCGUAAGUCGUGUGUGAAAGACGCGGGCUCAACCCGCGGACGGCACAUGAUACUGCGGGACUAGAGUAAUGGAGGGGGAACCGGAAUUCUCGGUGUAGCAGUGAAAUGCGUAGAUAUCGAGAGGAACACUCGUGGCGAAGGCGGGUUCCUGGACAUUAACUGACGCUGAGGCACGAAGGCCAGGGGAGCGAAAGGGAUUAGAUACCCGAGUAGUC
RNAcentral lists this ribosomal RNA (446 nucleotides) under uncultured bacterium. RNAcentral's name for it is "partial 16S ribosomal RNA". It matches the Rfam family "Bacterial small subunit ribosomal RNA", at positions 338 to 795 of the family's 1533-position model. The record is from RNAcentral.